This 1557-nucleotide ribosomal RNA is filed under the name Saguinus midas (Midas tamarin). RNAcentral describes it as "16S ribosomal RNA". It matches the Rfam family "Bacterial large subunit ribosomal RNA". Lineage: Eukaryota; Metazoa; Chordata; Mammalia; Primates; Cebidae. The record is from RNAcentral.
GCUAACCCUAGCCCAACCCCCCCCCCCCCCAUUUAUAAUACCUAGUUACACCAAAUAAAUCAUUUACCAAUCACAAAAGUAUAGGUGAUAGAAAUUGUACUCCAGGCGCAAUAGACACAGUACCGCAAGGGAAAGAUAAAAACCUAAAAGCACAGAAAAGCAAAGACAAAUCCUUCUACCUUCUGCAUAAUGAACUAACUAGAAAUAGCCUUAUAAAGAGAACUUAAAUAAUGUCCCCCGAAACCAAGCGAGCUACCCAAGGACAGCUAAAGAGCACACCCGUCUAUGUGGCAAAAUAGUGGGAAGAUCUUUGGGUAGAGGCGACAAACCUACCGAGCUUGGUGAUAGCUGGUUGUCCAAGACAGAAUCUUAGUUCAGCUUUAAAAUUACCCCCAGAAUCACACAAUCCUUAUGUAAUUUUGACUGUUAGUCUAAAGAGGGACAGCUCUUCAGACCAUAGGAAACAACCUUUUAUAGAGAGUAAACCAUAUAACUACCAUAGUUGGCCUAAAAGCAGCCACCAAUUAAGAAAGCGUUUAAGCUCAAUACACCCUUACUACUAAUUCUACUAACUAUACUGAACUCCUUAAACAAAUUGGACUAAUCUAUUGUUUAAUAGAAGCAAUAAUGUUAAUAUAAGUAACAUGAAAUUAUUCUCCCCGCAUAAGCUUAUUACAGACCGAAACAACUACUGCUAGUUAACAGUACAAUUAAAACACACUAUGACUUAACUUAUUAAUUUACUAAACUGUUGAUCCAACACAGGUAUGCGUUCAGGAAAGAUUAAAAAAAGUAAAAGGAACUCGGCAAACUCUACCCCCGCCUGUUUACCAAAAACAUCACCUCUAGCAUCUCCAGUAUUAGAGGCACUGCCUGCCCAGUGACAUAUGUUCAACGGCCGCGGUACCCUGACCGUGCAAAGGUAGCAUAAUCACUUGUUCUCUAAAUAGGGACUUGUAUGAACGGCCACACGAGGGUUUAACUGUCUCUUACUUUCAAUCAGUGAAAUUGACCUAUCCGUGAAGAGGCGGAUAUGCCAAAAUAAGACGAGAAGACCCUAUGGAGCUUCAAUUCAAUAGUACAAACUAAUAGCCUAAAAACCUACCAGGCAACAACCUACCGUCAGUGUACUAUAAAUUUUGGUUGGGGUGACCUCGGAGUAUAACACAACCUCCGAAAAGCAUAUACUAAGACCUUACUAGUCUAAGUAAACAUACAACUAUUGACCCAAUAACUUGAUCAACGGACUAAGUUACCCUAGGGAUAACAGCGCAAUCCUAUUUUAGAGUCCAUAUCGACAAUAGGGUUUACGACCUCGAUGUUGGAUCAAGACAUCCUAAUGGUGCAGAAGCUAUUAAGGGUUCGUUUGUUCAACGAUUAAAGUCUUACGUGAUCUGAGUUCAGACCGGAGCAAUCCAGGUCGGUUUCUAUCUAUUAAAUAUUCCUCCCAGUACGAAAGGACAAGAGAAAUAGGGCCUACUUCGCAAAGCGCCCUCAAAAAUUAGAUGACUAACAUCUUAAUCUUACAUACUACUACUUCACCCAAGAACAGGGCUU